CGGCGGACGGGUGAGUAAUACUUAGGAAUCUGCCUAUUAGUGGGCGACAACAUCUCGAAAGGGAUGCUAAUACCGCAUACGUCCUACGGGAGAAAGCAGGGGAUCACUUGUGACCUUGCGCUAAUAGAUGAGCCUAAGUCGGAUUAGCUAGUUGGUGGGGUAAAGGCCUACCAAGGCGACGAUCUGUAGCGGGUCUGAGAGGAUGAUCCGCCACACUGGGACUGAGACACGGCCCAGACUCCUACGGGAGGCAGCAGUGGGGAAUAUUGGACAAUGGGGGGAACCCUGAUCCAGCCAUGCCGCGUGUGUGAAGAAGGCCUUAUGGUUGUAAAGCACUUUAAGCGAGGAGGAGGCUUACCUAGUUAAUACCUAGGCUAAGUGGACGUUACUCGCAGAAUAAGCACCGGCUAACUCUGUGCCAGCAGCCGCGGUAAUACAGAGGGUGCAAGCGUUAAUCGGAUUUACUGGGCGUAAAGCGCGCGUAGGCGGCCAAUUAAGUCAAAUGUGAAAUCCCCGAGCUUAACUUGGGAAUUGCAUUCGAUACUGGUUGGCUAGAGUGUGGGAGAGGAUGGUAGAAUUCCAGGUGUAGCGGUGAAAUGCGUAGAGAUCUGGAGGAAUACCGAUGGCGAAGGCAGCCAUCUGGCCUAACACUGACGCUGAGGUGCGAAAGCAUGGGGAGCAAACAGGAUUAGAUACCCUGGUAGUCCAUGCCGUANACGAUGUCUACUAGCCGUUGGGGCCUUUGAGGCUUUAGUGGCGCAGCUAACGCGAUAAGUAGACCGCCUGGGGAGUACGGUCGCAAGACUAAAACUCAAAUGAAUUGACGGGGGCCCGCACAAGCGGUGGAGCAUGUGGUUUAUUCGAUGCCACGCGAAGAACCUUACCUGGCCUUGACAUAGUAGAAACUUUCCAGAGAUGGAUUGGUGCCUUCGGGGAUCUACAUACAGGUGCUGCAUGGCUGUCGUCAGCUCGUGUCGUGAGAUGUUGGGUUAAGUCCCGCAACGAGCGCAACCCUUUUCCUUACUUGCCAGCAUUUCGGAUGGGAACUUUAAGGAUACUGCCAGUGACAAACUGGAGGAAGGCGGGGACGACGUCAAGUCAUCAUGGCCCUUACGGCCAGGGCUACACACGUGCUACAAUGGUCGGUACAAAGGGUUGCUACCUAGCGAUAGGAUGCUAAUCUCAAAAAGCCGAUCGUAGUCCGGAUUGGAGUCUGCAACUCGACUCCAUGAAGUCGGAAUCG
Molecule: ribosomal RNA, 1243 nt
Filed under: Acinetobacter sp. BP8
Lineage: Bacteria; Pseudomonadati; Pseudomonadota; Gammaproteobacteria; Moraxellales; Moraxellaceae
Description: bacterial SSU rRNA
Rfam family: Bacterial small subunit ribosomal RNA
Source: RNAcentral